CGGGGCGUAGCGCAGCCUGGUAGCGUACCUGCCUGGGGGGCAGGUGGUCGUGAGUUCGAAUCUCGCCGCCCCGACCA
This 77-nucleotide transfer RNA is filed under the name Gammaproteobacteria bacterium. RNAcentral describes it as "tRNA-Pro". It matches the Rfam family "tRNA". Rfam says of the family: Transfer RNA (tRNA) molecules are approximately 80 nucleotides in length. Their secondary structure includes four short double-helical elements and three loops (D, anti-codon, and T loops). The record is from RNAcentral. RNAcentral also lists the same sequence under 2 other names. Lineage: Bacteria; Pseudomonadati; Pseudomonadota; Gammaproteobacteria.